GAUGAACGCUGGCGGCGUGCUUAACACAUGCAAGUCGAACGGGAAACCUUUUAAUGAAGCUUCGGCAGAUUUAGCUGGUUUCUAGUGGCGGACGGGUGAGUAACGCGUGGGUAACCUGCCCUAUACAGGGGGAUAACAACCAGAAAUGGUUGCUAAUACCGCAUAAGCGCACAGGACCGCAUGGUCCGGUGUGAAAAACUCCGGUGGUAUAGGAUGGACCCGCGUUGGAUUAGCCAGUUGGCAGGGUAACGGCCUACCAAAGCGACGAUCCAUAGCCGGCCUGAGAGGGUGAACGGCCACAUUGGGACUGAAACACGGCCCAGACUCCUACGGGAGGCAGCAGUGGGGAAUAUUGCACAAUGGGGGAAACCCUGAUGCAGCGACGCCGCGUGAAGGAAGAAGUAUCUCGGUAUGUAAACUUCUAUCAGCAGGGAAGAUAGUGACGGUACCUGACUAAGAAGCCCCGGCUAACUACGUGCCAGCCGCCGCGGUAA
This 494-nucleotide ribosomal RNA is filed under the name uncultured bacterium. Its description in RNAcentral is "partial 16S ribosomal RNA". It matches the Rfam family "Bacterial small subunit ribosomal RNA", at positions 28 to 523 of the family's 1533-position model. The record is from RNAcentral.